Molecule: ribosomal RNA, 492 nt
Filed under: uncultured bacterium
Lineage: Bacteria
Description: partial 16S ribosomal RNA
Rfam family: Bacterial small subunit ribosomal RNA
Source: RNAcentral
AGUGAACGCUGGCGGUAGGCCUAACACAUGCGAGUCGAACGGCAGCACAGUAAGAGCUUGCUCUUACGGGUGGCGAGUGGCGGACGGGUGAGGAAUACAUCGGCAUCUACUUUUUCGUGGGGGAUAACGUAGGGAAACUUACGCUAAUACCGCAUACGACCUACGGGUGAAAGCAGGGGAUCUUCGGACCUUGCGCGAUUGAAUGAGCCGAUGUCGGAUUAGCUAGUUGGCGGGGUAAAGGCCCACCAAGGCGACGAUCCGUAGCUGGUCUGAGAGGAUGAUCCGCCACACUGGAACUGAGACACGGUCCAGACUCCUACGGGAGGCAGCAGUGGGGAAUAUUGGACAAUGGGCGCAAGCCUGAUCCAGCCAUACCGCGUGGGUGAAGAAGGCCUUCGGGUUGUAAAGCCCUGUUGUUGGGAAAGAAAAGCAGCAGGUUAAUACCCCGCUGUUCUGACGGUACCCAAAGAAUAAGCACCGGCUAACUUCGUG